RNAcentral lists this microRNA precursor (126 nucleotides) under Myotis lucifugus (little brown bat). Its description in RNAcentral is "mir-9193 microRNA precursor family". It matches the Rfam family "mir-9193 microRNA precursor family". Lineage: Eukaryota; Metazoa; Chordata; Mammalia; Chiroptera; Vespertilionidae. The record is from Rfam by way of RNAcentral.
CGUGCACCAGUGGGGUCCCUCAGCCUGGCCUGUGCUGUCUCACAAUCUGGGACCCCUCGGGGGAUGUCGUAGAGCCAGUUUCAGCCCAAUCCCGCAGGCCAGGCUGAGGGACCCCACUGGUGCACG